AGAGUUUGAUCCUGGCUCAGAGCGAACGCUGGCGGCAUGCUUAACACGUGCAAGUCGCACGGGCAGGGGUAACUCUGUCAGUGGCGGACGGGUGAGUAACGCGUAGGUAUCUAUCCUCGGGUGGGGGACAACCACGGGAAACUGUGGCUAAUACCGCAUGAUGACUGAGGUCCAAAGGCGCAAGUCGCCUGGGGAGGAGCCUGCGUCCGAUUAGCUUGUUGGUGGGGUAAAGGCCUACCAAGGCUCCGAUCGGUAGCUGGUCUGAGAGGAUGAUCAGCCACACUGGGACUGAGACACGGCCCAGACUCCUACGGGAGGCAGCAGUGGGGAAUAUUGGACAAUGGGCGAAAGCCUGAUCCAGCAAUGCCGCGUGUGUGAAGAAGGUCUUCGGAUUGUAAAGCACUUUCGACGGGGACGAUGAUGACGGUACCCGUAGAAGAAGCCCCGGCUAACUUCGUGCCAGCAGCCGCGGUAAUACGAAGGGGGCUAGCGUUGCUCGGAUUGACUGGGCGUAAAGGGCGCGUAGGCGGUUUGUACAGUCAGACGUGAAAUUCCUGGGCUCAACCUGGGGGCUGCGUUUGAUACGUGCGAGCUUGAGUUCGGAAGAGGGUCGUGGAAUUCCCAGUGUAGAGGUGAAAUUCGUAGAUAUUGGGAAGAACACCGGUGGCGAAGGCGGCGACCUGGUCCGAUACUGACGCUGAGGCGCGAAAGCGUGGGGAGCAAACAGGAUUAGAUACCCCUGUAGUCC
This 748-nucleotide ribosomal RNA is filed under the name uncultured bacterium. Its description in RNAcentral is "bacterial SSU rRNA". It matches the Rfam family "Bacterial small subunit ribosomal RNA", at positions 8 to 796 of the family's 1533-position model. The record is from RNAcentral.